RNAcentral lists this ribosomal RNA (120 nucleotides) under uncultured bacterium. Its description in RNAcentral is "partial 16S ribosomal RNA". It matches the Rfam family "Bacterial small subunit ribosomal RNA", at positions 215 to 334 of the family's 1533-position model. The record is from RNAcentral.
GCGCUUCGGGAUGGGCUCGCGGCCUAUCAGCUUGUUGGUGGGGUAACGGCCUACCAAGGCUUCGACGGGUAGCUGGUCUGAGAGGACGAUCAGCCACACUGGGACUGAGACACGGCCCAG